GACGGAGGAUGCAAGCGUUAUCCGGAAUUAUUGGGCGUAAAGCGUCCGCAGGUGGCUUUUCAAGUCUGUUGUCAAAGCGCGGGGCUUAACUCCGUACAGGCAAUGGAAACUGGGAAGCUAGAGUAUGGUAGGGGUAGAGGGAAUUCCCGGUGUAGCGGUGAAAUGCGUAGAUAUCGGGAAGAACACCAGUGGCGAAAGCGCUCUGCUGGACCAUAACUGACACUGAGGGACGAAAGCUAGGGGAGCGAAAGGG
Molecule: ribosomal RNA, 253 nt
Filed under: uncultured bacterium
Lineage: Bacteria
Description: partial 16S ribosomal RNA
Rfam family: Bacterial small subunit ribosomal RNA
Source: RNAcentral